RNAcentral lists this ribosomal RNA (116 nucleotides) under Escherichia coli. The record is from RNAcentral. Lineage: Bacteria; Pseudomonadati; Pseudomonadota; Gammaproteobacteria; Enterobacterales; Enterobacteriaceae.
CCUGGCGGCCUUAGCGCGGUGGUCCCACCUGACCCCAUGCCGAACUCAGAAGUGAAACGCCGUAGCGCCGAUGGGAGUGUGGUGUCACCCCAUGCGAGAGUAGAGAACUGCCAGAC